RNAcentral lists this long non-coding RNA (1266 nucleotides) under Brassica rapa (field mustard). RNAcentral describes it as "long non-coding RNA (BRAP_LNC004796)". Lineage: Eukaryota; Viridiplantae; Streptophyta; Magnoliopsida; Brassicales; Brassicaceae. The record is from RNAcentral.
UUGGUGGUAAAUGCUAUAGCUCGUUCUUCUGAGAUUCACCUAGUUUCUUUGAUUAGUUUUGUUGGUUUUAGAGCUGACCAUGCUUGUUCGAUGGCUUAUUUGAUCUUCAGUAUCAAAUCAAGUAAGCUAAGACUCCGCAAUUUCUAUGUUGCCUACAUUUAUGGAGAUUCUCACUAAAAACUUUUGUCGGUCAACAUUCUAAAAUUUUCUCAGGGUGCAUCAACGUCGUUUUAUUCAGUUAUCAUUUGUUCUUUCAAACACUACCUAGUGUAUGGGUCUCAAGUUAAAUUUCACUUAGAGUCUUUUCAUCCCUUGAACACAUCUAUCACUUUUUUUUCGUAAUAGUUUCCGUUAAUAAUAAUUUUACCAUUGAGUUUACUUCCGUUUCCGUUUGUAUCCUCACAAACCUUUUGGAUAUUUUGAUUAAUAUAAUUGUUUGUUGUCCAAUUAUUUUUUGCUAUGAAUUUGAAUGUAUCGAAAAAUGCAAUUGCUAAAUAUCCAAGUGUAUAUAUAUUCAAAAUAAACAGAAAAUUUUCUUGUUUAUUAAAACAGUAAACAAACAAUGAACAAGGUGUUUCAAAAAAAAAAUUGUUUCAAAAAAAAAACAACGAACAAAAAUUAUUUUACAUAAAAUCUAGAAACCCUAAAACUUAAUAUUUACUAGAAACUAAAAUAUUUAAAUAUAACUAUGGAAUAUUGACGACCGUCUAAAAAAAGGUUUUCUUACCCAAUAUAGAACUUUUUCUUGUAUUUAGCCACUUCCUUGUGCAGUAAUCCUCGUACGCACAAUACAAUUCGGAACAAGUGAUCAAUAUAUUAGCCUUUUUGGUUGUUUCAUUUGCUUUACUUAGUAAACCAAUCUUAGAUAGAAUGACGAGACUGAGCCUGAGAUAUAUUUGUAUUUAAUUAUAUAUAUAUUUAGUUUCGCUUUGCUUUGAAUGUAUGUUUUUCUUCUAAAGUGGGUAAGCAAGAAAAUGAUGUGCUAUUAAUGUGAAUGGAGAGAUAUCUAUAGCUUCAGUGACAACUUGCAAAAAGCAAAGAAAGAUAGAUCAUAAACCUAACAUGUAUUGUUGUGUUACUACUUACCAAACUACAAGCAAGAAAAAGUGUUAAAGUUGUUCGUCCAAAUUCCAUGGCACCUUUUGAUCUCAUCAAAUGUCCUUGGCCCAAACAAAAAAAAAACAUUUACAUGUGGUUGGGAGUGUAAGCCCAACACACUCAGAGGCCCAAGUGGAGAACACAACAGAAGCUAAGGCCUCUGCAUCA